Molecule: non-coding RNA, 102 nt
Organism: Xyrichtys novacula (pearly razorfish)
Lineage: Eukaryota; Metazoa; Chordata; Actinopteri; Labriformes; Labridae
Source: the annotation of a GenBank genome assembly
UCUCUGUAAAGACAAGUCAUGCCAAUACAGAGAAAGUGUGUGAUCGACUGAUUAGUAUGAAUAUGUGUUAAAUAUUGUUUUUUUCAUCAUUGCCAGAGAGAU